UCAACAAUGGAGGUAAUGCACCUU
This 24-nucleotide non-coding RNA is filed under the name Arabidopsis thaliana (thale cress). The record is from RNAcentral. Lineage: Eukaryota; Viridiplantae; Streptophyta; Magnoliopsida; Brassicales; Brassicaceae.